This 423-nucleotide ribosomal RNA is filed under the name uncultured Glomeromycotina. RNAcentral's name for it is "SSU rRNA". It matches the Rfam family "Eukaryotic small subunit ribosomal RNA", at positions 671 to 1092 of the family's 1831-position model. Lineage: Eukaryota; Fungi; Glomeromycota. The record is from RNAcentral.
AUGGUAUGCACUGGCUCGGUGACUCCUCCUUCUUGUAGAACCGUAAUGCCAUUAAUUUGGUGUUGCGGGGAAACAGGACUGUUACUUUGAAAAAAUUAGAGUGUUUAAAGCAGGCCAACGCCUGAAUACAUUAGCAUGGAAUAAUGAAAUAGGACGUUUGAUUCUAUUUUGUUGGUUUCUAGGAUCGACGUAAUGAUUAAUAGGGAUAGUUGGGGGCAUUAGUAUUCAAUUGUCAGAGGUGAAAUUCUUGGAUUUAUUGAAGACUAACUACUGCGAAAGCAUUUGCCAAGGAUGUUUUCAUUAAUCAAGAACGAAAGUUAGAGGAUCGAAGACGAUCAGAUACCGUCGUAGUCUUAACCAUAAACUAUGCCGACUAGGGAUCGGAUGAUGUUAAUUUUUUAAUGACUCAUUCGGCGCCUUACG